Molecule: long non-coding RNA, 620 nt
Filed under: Sorghum bicolor (sorghum)
Lineage: Eukaryota; Viridiplantae; Streptophyta; Magnoliopsida; Poales; Poaceae
Description: long non-coding RNA (SBIC_LNC008588)
Source: RNAcentral
CUCAAACCCUAUCGUCUCCUCCUCAGCUGCAGUAGAUAUCGGCGCCUCCUCCAGCGCCUCUUUUUCCCUUUUCCCCAUCCUCGCAUCGGGCAGAGCAGUGGCUCUCAGUGUGCCCAAACCCUAGCUUCGCACUACACAGCUCGCCAGAUCUCGCCCACGCGGAUCCGGCCCUUGCCGCAGUGGACCAUGCCCCUCCAUGUUUGGAGUCCCGACGGCUGGCUCGUCUCCCACCUUCCAUGACCACGGUGGGCACGGUGAACUGCACGAACAACACGACCUCGGCGAACCAGCAUGGAGGACUGUCCGCGUGGUGCAGGCCCCAACUGCGCGCGUGGUGCAGGGGCAUGGCGACGGCCGGCUCCAGGAGGUGAGGAUCUCCUUCUCUCCUCUUUUUAUUUUUUUAUUUAGGGUCAGGGUUAGGGAUUCGGGAAAUAGAAGACUAUUCCUUCUAAUUGCAUAGCUCAUGGACUGAAUCACCCUUAAUUUCAUAAGACUAGAUCUAAUCAUGAUUUGUCUCAGGUCCCAUAAACUGCUCUAGUAUUUUUGGAAAAGCAUUAGGGACUAAUCUUCUAGUAAUUUGAUCAAACCUGCUCUUCUUUGAAGACUGAACAUCAUAUCUG